RNAcentral lists this long non-coding RNA (314 nucleotides) under Populus trichocarpa (black cottonwood). Its description in RNAcentral is "long non-coding RNA (PTRI_LNC000616)". The record is from RNAcentral. Lineage: Eukaryota; Viridiplantae; Streptophyta; Magnoliopsida; Malpighiales; Salicaceae.
AAAAGCAAUGGUCGGUUUUGGGAUCCAAGACUUCAAGCACUGGGCUGGAGUCCCAAUUCCAGAACUAAAGAUCAAAGUUGUUUGAUCGCCUGACUGGUCAAAAACAAGGAAUCUUUUCUGAGCGCGACCAGAGUCUGAUUGAGGCACGAUGUCCUUAAUUUCACGAGGGGCAGUGGGAAGUUUCUCUUUGAGAACAGUGUCCAAAAGAGGCCUUUUCUCUUUAAGAACAGAAUGAAAAGGAGGCAUGAAGGCCUGUCGGAAGCGGGGCAAACCAUAAAACCACCCACGCGGUUCAUUUUCCUGACCAACCUGCG